AUUGAACGCUGGCGGCAGGCCUAACACAUGCAAGUCGAGCGGAUGAAGGGAGCUUGCUCCUGGAUUCAGCGGCGGACGGGUGAGUAAUGCCUAGGAAUCUGCCUGGUCUUGGGGGAUAACGUCCGUAAACGGGCGCUAAUACCGCAUACGUCCUGAGGGAGAAAGUGGGGGAUCUUCGGACCUCACGCUAUCAGAUGAGCCUAGGUCGGAUUAGCUAGUUGGUGGGGUAAAGGCCUACCAAGGCGACGAUCCGUAACUGGUCUGAGAGGAUGGUCAGUCACACUGGAACUGAGACGCGGUCCAGACUACUACGGGAGGCAGCAGUGGGGAAUAUUGGACAAAGGGCGAAAGCCUGAUCCAGCCAUGCCGCGUGUGUGAAGAAGGUCUUCGGAUUGUAAAGCACUUUUAGUUGGGAGGAAGGGCAGUAAGUUAAUACCGUGCUGUUUUGACGUUACCGACAGAAUAAGCACCGGCUAACUUCGUG
RNAcentral lists this ribosomal RNA (484 nucleotides) under uncultured bacterium. RNAcentral describes it as "partial 16S ribosomal RNA". It matches the Rfam family "Bacterial small subunit ribosomal RNA", at positions 30 to 507 of the family's 1533-position model. The record is from RNAcentral.